This 436-nucleotide long non-coding RNA is filed under the name Pan troglodytes (chimpanzee). RNAcentral's name for it is "long non-coding RNA NONPTRT008137". Lineage: Eukaryota; Metazoa; Chordata; Mammalia; Primates; Hominidae. The record is from RNAcentral.
GUGGGGAGGGUCAGGACUGGUCUGACACUGGCUCUUCUCCAUCUCCCCAGGGCCGGUGGUUCCUGCUUUCGGGAGUGUGGGGGUCGCGCCCUCCUCACCAACGUGUCCUCAGUGGCACUGGGCUCACGCCGGGUCGGGGGGCUGCUGCCUCCAGGUGGCGGGGCUGCAAGAGCCGGGCCUGGCCUGUCCUACUGUGUGUGGGUUGUCUCGGCCACUGAGGAGCUACAGCCCUGUGCUCCCGGGACCCUCUGUCCCCCACUCACCCUCACCUUCUCCCCUGACAGCAGCACCCCCUGCACGCUGAGCUACGUCCUGGCGUUUGAUGGAUUCCCACGCUUCCUGGACACUGGUGUUGUCCAGUCGGACCGCAGCCUCAUAGCUGCCUUCUGUGGCCAGCGACGGGACAGGCCCCUCACUGUUCAGGCCCUGUCUGGUA